This 521-nucleotide ribosomal RNA is filed under the name Streptococcus suis. RNAcentral's name for it is "bacterial SSU rRNA". It matches the Rfam family "Bacterial small subunit ribosomal RNA", at positions 470 to 990 of the family's 1533-position model. Lineage: Bacteria; Bacillati; Bacillota; Bacilli; Lactobacillales; Streptococcaceae. The record is from RNAcentral.
UGACGGUAUCUUACCAGAAAGGGACGGCUAACUACGUGCCAGCAGCCGCGGUAAUACGUAGGUCCCGAGCGUUGUCCGGAUUUAUUGGGCGUAAAGCGAGCGCAGGCGGUUUGAUAAGUCUGAAGUAAAAGGCUGUGGCUUAACCAUAGUACGCUUUGGAAACUGUCAAACUUGAGUGCAGAAGGGGAGAGUGGAAUUCCAUGUGUAGCGGUGAAAUGCGUAGAUAUAUGGAGGAACACCGGUGGCGAAAGCGGCUCUCUGGUCUGUAACUGACGCUGAGGCUCGAAAGCGUGGGGAGCGAACAGGAUUAGAUACCCUGGUAGUCCACGCCGUAAACGAUGAGUGCUAGGUGUUGGGUCCUUUCCGGGACUCAGUGCCGCAGCUAACGCAUUAAGCACUCCGCCUGGGGAGUACGACCGCAAGGUUGAAACUCAAAGGAAUUGACGGGGGCCCGCACAAGCGGUGGAGCAUGUGGUUUAAUUCGAAGCAACGCGAAGAACCUUACCAGGUCUUGACAUCCC